This 750-nucleotide ribosomal RNA is filed under the name uncultured bacterium. RNAcentral's name for it is "bacterial SSU rRNA". It matches the Rfam family "Bacterial small subunit ribosomal RNA", at positions 735 to 1487 of the family's 1533-position model. The record is from RNAcentral.
CGUAACUGACACUGAGGCACGAAAGCGUGGGUAGCAAACAGGAUUAGAUACCCUGGUAGUCCACGCCGUAAACGAUGAGUACUAGGUGUAGGGGGUAUCGACUCCCCCUGUGCCGCAGUUAACACAAUAAGUACUCCGCCUGGGAAGUACGAUCGCAAGAUUAAAACUCAAAGGAAUUGACGGGGGCCCGCACAAGCAGCGGAGCAUGUGGUUUAAUUCGAAGCAACGCGAAGAACCUUACCUAGACUUGACAUACCCUGAAUUACUCGUAACUGAGGAAGCUUUUCGGAGCAGGGAUACAGGUGGUGCAUGGUUGUCGUCAGCUCGUGUCGUGAGAUGUUAGGUUAAGUCCUGCAACGAGCGCAACCCUUAUCAUUAGUUGCUACCAUUCAGUUGAGCACUCUAGUGAGACUGCCCGGGUUAACCGGGAGGAAGGUGGGGAUGACGUCAAAUCAUCAUGCCCCUUAUGUCUAGGGCUACACACGUGCUACAAUGGUGAGUACAAAGAGAUGCAAUCCCGCGAGGGGGAGCCAAACUUAUAAAACUCAUCUCAGUUCGGAUUGUAGGCUGAAACUCGCCUACAUGAAGCUGGAGUUGCUAGUAAUCGCGAAUCAGCAUGUCGCGGUGAAUACGUUCCCGGGCCUUGUACACACCGCCCGUCACACCAUGAGAGCUGGCAACACCCGAAGUCCGUAGUCUAACCGUAAGGAGGACGCGGCCGAAGGUGGGGUUAGUGAUUGGGGUGAAGUC